Long non-coding RNA from Mastomys coucha (southern multimammate mouse), 651 nucleotides. RefSeq lists it as uncharacterized. The record is from RefSeq and is a predicted model, not a curated record. NCBI's taxonomy places the organism in Eukaryota, Metazoa, Chordata, Mammalia, Rodentia, Muridae. The transcript is spliced from 5 exons.
UUUAACACUACUUGUCUCAAGAAGAACUAGUACCUUUAGUUUCCCAGUAGCCUUAGCCAUUUUUUCAUAUCCUAAAUGCAUCAUAAAGAAUGGCAAAGCAUCUUGGGCCUUCUUCCGUACAUCUCCAUUUCGAUCUUCUAGACAGGAAUACAGAUGAGGAACACAAAGGAUAAUAUCUGUGGGAGUGGAACGGAGCGUAGGUAGUUUCUCUGCCAGCCAUCCCAGAAGCUGCCAAAAGAAAAGACCAGUGAAAUAUUUUAAAGGUCAGAAGAGGGAGUUGGAGCCCUGAGAACUUAAGUCACAGACAGUUGAAAGCCACCAUGGAGGAGCCAGGAACCAUGCCUGGAUUCUUUACAAGAGCAGCUCUUAACUACUGUGCCACGUUUCCAUCCUCUAAGACUCUUCCUUUAGCAAAAACUCUACAGCCUUUCUAGAACCCCAAAGCCCAACACUUAUCUAAAUUCAUAGGAAGCAGAAAGAAAAGGAAUUAUCAAUGGAGGGAAGAGAAAUCAGUGUACACUUCAUUCUUCAAUCCUUUGACUAUUCUCCCUACUACCUUUAUCUGAAGAAAAGGUUUUUGGUUUUUUGAUUUUUCAAGAAAGGAUUUCUUGUGUAGUCCUGUCUGUCUGGACCCCUUUCUGUAGACCAGGC